This 484-nucleotide ribosomal RNA is filed under the name uncultured bacterium. RNAcentral describes it as "partial 16S ribosomal RNA". It matches the Rfam family "Bacterial small subunit ribosomal RNA", at positions 30 to 507 of the family's 1533-position model. The record is from RNAcentral.
AUUGAACGCUGGCGGCAGGCCUAACACAUGCAAGUCGAGCGGAUGAAGGGAGCUUGCUCCUGGAUUCAGCGGCGGACGGGUGAGUAAUGCCUAGGAAUCUGCCUGGUAGUGGGGGAUAACGUCCGGAAACGGGCGCUAAUACCGCAUACGUCCUGAGGGAGAAAGUGGGGGAUCUUCGGACCUCACGCUAUCAGAUGAGCCUAGGUCGGAUUAGCUAGUUGGUGGGGUAAAGGCCUACCAAGGCGACGAUCCGUAACUGGUCUGAGAGGAGGAUCAGUCACACGAGAACUGAAACACGGUCCAGACUCCUACGGGAGGCAGCAGUGGGGAAUAUUGGACAAUGGGCGAAAGCCUGAUCCAGCCAUGCCGCGUGUGUGAAGAAGGUCUUCGGAUUGUAAAGCACUUUAAGUUGGGAGGAAGGGCAGUAAGUUAAUACCUUGCUGUUUUGACGUUACCAACAGAAUAAGCACCGGCUAACUUCGUG